RNAcentral lists this unclassified non-coding RNA (524 nucleotides) under Hevea brasiliensis (rubber tree). Lineage: Eukaryota; Viridiplantae; Streptophyta; Magnoliopsida; Malpighiales; Euphorbiaceae. The record is from RNAcentral.
GAUUAGAUAAAUAUCUGCAGGCUGCAUCACGUGCAGUAAACCAAACAUCAGACCCCAUUAAAUAGAAGAAGCCUCAAAUCUUUCAAUAUUAAUAUUAAAAAUUAGUUAAAGUAAGACGAUCCAUCGGCUAGCUUCUAGUCACAAUUACAGGAUAUGCUGCAAACAUGCUCAUGUCACUGAUUUUUUAUGAACCCACAAAAAGAACUGAACCACACACACCAAGUGAAUAAGAACAAUGUUAUAGACAAGACUAGUUUCAAUUCACACGCCGAUCAGCUAUAGCUACCAUUUUAUAUUCAAACAACUGACAUUCACUGCAUAAAUCAAGAAUCACAAGUACAAGCAAUUACAAACUACAGAAACAGGAAAGGAGCAAAGUAAAACUGCCGAAAGAAGUUUCAGGGACUGUUUGCAGCUUAGGGUCUUCACCGCAUGUUUAAACAUGCAUUCCUGGAGUCACACAGGUAUAGACCUGCAGUCUUCUCCCCAUAUAGUCAAAUGAGGAAAAGGUUUCCUGUCUUAGG